RNAcentral lists this ribosomal RNA (372 nucleotides) under uncultured organism. RNAcentral's name for it is "partial 16S ribosomal RNA". It matches the Rfam family "Bacterial small subunit ribosomal RNA", at positions 527 to 896 of the family's 1533-position model. The record is from RNAcentral.
GUAGGUGGCAAGCGUUGUCCGGAAUUAUUGGGCGUAAAGCGCGCGCAGGCGGCCCUUUAAGUCUGAUGUGAAAGCCCACGGCUCAACCGUGGAGGGUCAUUGGAAACUGGGGGACUUGAGUACAGAAGAGGAAAGCGGAAUUCCAAGUGUAGCGGCGAAAUGCGUAGAGAUUUGGAGGAACACCAGUGGCGAAGGCGGCUUUCUGGUCUGUAACUGACGCUGAGGCGCGAAAGCGUGGGGAGCAAACAGGAUUAGAUACCCUGGUAGUCCACGCCGUAAACGAUGAGUGCUAAGUGUUAGGGGGUUUCCGCCCCCUUAGUGCUGCAGCUAACGCAUUAAGCACUCCGCCUGGGGAGUACGGCCGCAAGGCUG